UCCUUGCUGUUGAAAACCCGCUUGAUCAAAACCCGCUCAGCCAAGACUCCCAUAGGUGCCAUCAGGAGAGGCACAAGCGCCAGCAUCACCCAGAAAUUCAAACCUAACGCGCCGAGCGAAAUAGCGCCAAAUGCUCCAAUGGCAUAGAACUCGCCGUGACUCAUGUUGAUGACAUCGAGGAGACCAAAAAUAAUGGUCAAACCCAACGCGACAAGAGUAACAGCUAUGCCCAACGCAAGACC
Molecule: unclassified non-coding RNA, 242 nt
Filed under: Hevea brasiliensis (rubber tree)
Lineage: Eukaryota; Viridiplantae; Streptophyta; Magnoliopsida; Malpighiales; Euphorbiaceae
Source: RNAcentral